RNAcentral lists this long non-coding RNA (905 nucleotides) under Ficedula albicollis (Collared flycatcher). Its description in RNAcentral is "lncRNA (ENSFALG00000025275.1)". The record is from RNAcentral. Lineage: Eukaryota; Metazoa; Chordata; Aves; Passeriformes; Muscicapidae.
CUCCUAUUUUAUAUUAGCAGAGGCUGCAGGGAGCCAGAAAUAGGGAAGUGGAGACAGCCUUGCCAUCUUCCAAAACUGAACACAGGAAUGUAAUCAACCUCCCAUGAGAACUUGAGAAGUUUCACUUAUUCCUUACUUCAGUAGCUCAGUUUUAUCUGUAGAGUCGUUCUACUGUGAGCCUUGAUCUGCUUCUUGAUGUUUCUUUUCUCUAUUGUAGGGCGAGCCUCCAACAGGUCAGGCAGUCCCUCUCAUCUUUGACAUGAUGGCCACAGCAGAUCCACAAGUACCUGAUGGAUGAGGAUGGCAUGGGUGUCAUGCUGUGCAUAACACAAGCACCAAAAGGCUGAGCAUCAGGGCCAGCCCAGGAAAACUUCUUGAGCGUCUUUCUCUCUUCGUUCCAGAGGCAGCCAGGCUGCUUUCCUCCCGUGAGGAGAUGGGAGAAGGAGGACAAGAAUGACAGGUUUGUGAAAGGGGCACUGUGCCUCUGACAGCUUGCAGAUGCACGGGAAGCAAGGUUGGCAAAAGGCAGCAUUAGGUGUUCCUGCUGCCAGCUAAUAGUGUCCAGUCAGGUGGGUUAGCCUAGCAGACAGAUAGUAAUGGAUUAGCUGUACCACAGCAAAUGCUUUAUUGGCAAGUAACCAUUUGCAACCUACUGUGCUCUUCCACCCAGAAUUUUCCUACUUAAUUUCCUGACAAACCACUGUCCUAGCACCACCUAGUGUCCAGCCUGGCAAUUCAGACGUCCUCAAUGAGGGAAUUCCAGGCAUUUGUGGCCCAAAGAAGAAAAUUCAGAGGGAUUUUCUUGGGUUCUUUAAGUUAACAUAGACUCCUACAGCACCUUUAGAAAAGUCUACAGUUGUACCAUCUGAAAUAAUGCUUUUAUUUCCAAAUCCUGCCAUUACUUA